Molecule: non-coding RNA, 30 nt
Filed under: Rattus norvegicus (Norway rat)
Lineage: Eukaryota; Metazoa; Chordata; Mammalia; Rodentia; Muridae
Source: RNAcentral
UGGUAAUACUGACUGCAUUCAGCUGUCUCA